GUCGAACGCCGUAGCAAUACGGAGUGGCAGACGGGUGAGUAACGCGUGGGAACGUGCCUUUCGGUUCGGAACAACUGAGGGAAACUUCAGCUAAAACCGGAUACGCCCUUCGGGGGAAAGUUUACGCCGAAAGAUCGGCCCGCGUUAGAUUAGCUAGUUGGUGGGGUAAUGGCCUACCAAGGCGACGAUCUAUAGCUGUUCUGAGAGGAAGAUCAGCCACACUGGGACUGAGACACGGCCCAGACUCCUACGGGAGGCAGCAGUGGGGAAUAUUGGACAAUGGGCGCAAGCCUGAUCCAGCUAUGCCGCGUGGAUGAAGAAGGCCUUCGGGUUGUAAAGUCCUUUCGUUGGUGAAGAUAAUGACGGUAACCAAAGAAGAAGCCCCGGCUAAUUUCGUGCCAGCA
RNAcentral lists this ribosomal RNA (404 nucleotides) under uncultured bacterium. RNAcentral's name for it is "bacterial SSU rRNA". It matches the Rfam family "Bacterial small subunit ribosomal RNA", at positions 61 to 513 of the family's 1533-position model. The record is from RNAcentral.